Small nucleolar RNA from Lathyrus oleraceus (garden pea), 108 nucleotides. NCBI's taxonomy places the organism in Eukaryota, Viridiplantae, Streptophyta, Magnoliopsida, Fabales, Fabaceae. The record is from RefSeq and is a predicted model, not a curated record.
AAUCUGUGGUAUGGACAAACUCUUAAUAGUUCUUUUUAUCUCUCCCAAGCAUCAAAAAGAGAUUCACCAUCCUGUUGUGUUAAUCUGGUAAUUUGGUUCCGCAAGACA